CGUUAAUGGCAGUAGAUCUUAAGCAAGAUGUGAAGGAAAACCCUAAUUUUCAGUCUAUCUUUUCGUUGGGAGACGUUUCAAUUUCGUUUCAGUCAGAAGCAUCUCUCUAUCCAUACAUCCGAGUGGAAAUGGCCAUGGAAAUGUCAGAUUUCUUCUCAGAUCUUGCAUUUUCCUGCAAUUGAGGCGUGUUGAAAGCAAAAGACAGACGAAUACCACGCUUUCCGACGAUUUUCCGCAAGAGGACGCUGCGGAUUUGUUAAUUUCAGGCUUUCUGAAGGUUCUUUUAGCAGAUUCGGUGAUUUUCAAGUUUUUUUUUUCCUCGAUUUGUAACAGAUUCCAGGGUUCUUAGGGGCAGAUUCAUAGAAUUAGGGUUUUCUGUGGUGUUUUUGUUUUGAAUGAUUUGGUGGUUUCUAGGGUUCGUUGUGUGCUUCUGUGGGUUUUUGAAGGGUUUCAAGUAUUCUUGUUAUUUGCAUAAUUGAAGGGUUUCAAAAACUGCUACAGCUGCUCACAGGGGUGGUUAUCAGGAAUCAACUCUGUAUAUGCACCAUUCAUUUGGUGGGCCCCACCAUGUGUUGUGCGCAAAAAUCAGAACAGUCCUGUCAUCAGCUAGGGGAACAUGUGCGUUAAGGGUGUGGACUGUUAGACAUUUUUUUUUCCUUAACCAUCUUAUACAUGAACUCAGCCAAGGACAUGUCCAGCCUAAUUUUUAGGCUGUGCAUAUGCGCAAGCGGCACCAGAUCAAUCGCCCUGCAUCAAACAUAUGCCACACUAGCACAUGUACAAGAAAUACAAAUUGGAUCAAAUGAAUGACAGAUCUGGCCCGAUUUUUUUGCUAUAAUGCAUAUGCAGAAGCACCACCAGAUCAACAGUCUGGAGAUCGCGAAGAGUAGUAUUCAGAUGGCUUCCUGCACUUUUCUCCAAUAACAUGGUGGUGAAACUGUCUUGAUUACGUUGAUAUGGUGGGCCACAAUAUAUGUGGAUGAUGAGACAACUAUUUGACUAUCCAAUUGUUGUGAGUUUUACUUUGUUGAGUGUAGGCCACUGCUGUUGACUCUUCCUUUGGCAGGCCACUACUUGUGUGAGGGUUCCUGAAGUCCAAUCCUAUUCUCUCUGGGAUAUGGCUAGGAGUAUAUAUAUCCAUCUUCUCCUACAUGUAUUGGCCAUCUGAUUACUGGAUCAGACUGACUUCGGGCCUGGGCAACAGUUGGAUCAUCAUCUCAUUUUUUUAUUAUUAUUAUUUUUUAAUGUUAUAUAGAUAUGCUAUAUGUUGACAAACAUGCUGCAAGGAUUUAAUUGUGUUUAUUUCAUUUGUAUCAUGCAGAAGGCUUCCUUCUACAAAUGUUCAGUCACCUGACAUAAAUGCACUGUAGUUCUGGAAAUGAGCAGUCCUACUUAGUGACAUUGAUAAUUAGUGGAGCAAUUAGCUACUUUGCUGGAUGGAAAAACUGUAUGCAACUUCAAGACAGUUUUCAUGCCCCAAUGCAGCAUGGCCCUGUACUUCUGUACUGCUCAUGAGUUGUUUUAGCAUAAAUUAGUGGCACAUUGUUUUUAGAUUUUAAUUAGAAAUUUUUUGACAUUCAAGCUCUUGCUCUUGUAGGAGGAGCUACAGUUUAAUUAGAUUUGUUUUCUUUUUGAUAUAUGAGCUCUUGCUUUUACAGGAGAAGCUAACUGGCACGCAGGAAGCGAUUGGAUGGGAUGUAGAGGA
This is a long non-coding RNA of Magnolia sinica, 1705 nucleotides long. RefSeq lists it as uncharacterized. The record is from RefSeq and is a predicted model, not a curated record. NCBI's taxonomy places the organism in Eukaryota, Viridiplantae, Streptophyta, Magnoliopsida, Magnoliales, Magnoliaceae. The transcript is spliced from 3 exons.